RNAcentral lists this ribosomal RNA (465 nucleotides) under Vreelandella stevensii. RNAcentral describes it as "partial 16S ribosomal RNA". It matches the Rfam family "Bacterial small subunit ribosomal RNA", at positions 338 to 795 of the family's 1533-position model. Lineage: Bacteria; Pseudomonadati; Pseudomonadota; Gammaproteobacteria; Oceanospirillales; Halomonadaceae. The record is from RNAcentral.
CCUACGGGGGGCUGCAGUGGGGAAUAUUGGACAAUGGGGGCAACCCUGAUCCAGCCAUGCCGCGUGUGUGAAGAAGGCCCUCGGGUUGUAAAGCACUUUCAGUGAGGAAGAACGCCUGGUGGUUAAUACCCAUCAGGAAAGACAUCACUCACAGAAGAAGCACCGGCUAACUCCGUGCCAGCAGCCGCGGUAAUACGGAGGGUGCGAGCGUUAAUCGGAAUUACUGGGCGUAAAGCGCGCGUAGGUGGCUUGAUAAGCCGGUUGUGAAAGCCCCGGGCUCAACCUGGGAAUGGCAUCCGGAACUGUCAAGCUAGAGUGCAGGAGAGGAAGGUAGAAUUCCCGGUGUAGCGGUGAAAUGCGUAGAGAUCGGGAGGAAUACCAGUGGCGAAGGCGGCCUUCUGGACUGACACUGACACUGAGGUGCGAAAGCGUGGGUAGCAAACAGGACUAGAUACCCUAGUAGUC